ACGAACGCUGGCGGCGUGCUUAACACCUGCAAGUCGAACGGUGAAGCGCCUUCCUUUUUGGUGGGUGUGGAUGAGUGGCGAACGGGUGAGUAACACGUGAGUAACCUGCCCCCUUCUUCUGGAUAACCGCAUGAAAGUGUGGCUAAUACGGGAUAUUCUGGGUCUGUCGCAUGAUGGGUCUGGGAAAGAUAUUGUUUCGGUGGGGGAUGGGCUCGCGGCCUAUCAGCUUGUUGGUGGGGUGAUGGCCUACCAAGGCGGUGACGGGUAGCCGGCCUGAGAGGGUGGACGGUCACACUGGGACUGAGACACGGCACAGACUCCUACGGGAGGCAGCAGUGGGGAAUAGUGCACAAUGGGCGCAAGCCUGAUGCAGCGACGCCGCGUGAGGGAUGGAGGCCUUCGGGUUGUGAACCUCUUUCGCCAGUGAAGCAGGCCUGCCUCGUUUGUGGGUGGGUUGACGGUAGCUGGAUAAGAAGCGCCGGCUAACUACGUG
Molecule: ribosomal RNA, 493 nt
Filed under: uncultured bacterium
Lineage: Bacteria
Description: partial 16S ribosomal RNA
Rfam family: Bacterial small subunit ribosomal RNA
Source: RNAcentral